This 271-nucleotide long non-coding RNA is filed under the name Elaeis guineensis (African oil palm). RNAcentral's name for it is "long non-coding RNA (EGUI_LNC072741)". The record is from RNAcentral. Lineage: Eukaryota; Viridiplantae; Streptophyta; Magnoliopsida; Arecales; Arecaceae.
AGCAGGUUAGGGGACACUUUGACUAUGUCCGGGACUUCCUCAUGUGGUUUGCUCAGAACUUGAAGGGGGAACCAUACCACAGCAAGGGCACAUAUGCAUGAACCACCAACUUCUCUCCGAAGAUGAGUAUGACAAAUUCCACCAAUAAGUGAGCUACUUCCCUUAUCGACAUGAUUCCUCCAGCAUUGCUACCAAAUAGGAAACUGGUAGACAAAUGGAAAUCAGGCAGGAAGACUUGUGCCUAGUGUAGCACCAUAAUGUUUUUCAGGGA